Molecule: ribosomal RNA, 28 nt
Filed under: Heterorhabditis indica
Lineage: Eukaryota; Metazoa; Nematoda; Chromadorea; Rhabditida; Heterorhabditidae
Description: partial 26S ribosomal RNA
Source: RNAcentral
CAACCUGAGCUCAGUCGUGAUUACCCGG